CACACUGUAAACGAUGAAUGCUAGGUGUAGGGGGUAUCGACCCCUUCUGUGCCGGAGUAAACACAAUAAGCAUUCCGCCUGGGGAGUACGGUCGCAAGAUUAAAACUCAAAGGAAUUGACGGGGGCCCGCACAAGCAGCGGAGCAUGUGGUUUAAUUCGAAGCAACGCGAAGAACCUUACCAGGUCUUGACAUCCAGGUAAAGCUUGAGAGAUUAAGUGUGCCUUCGGGCGAUCUGAGACAGGUGG
Molecule: ribosomal RNA, 246 nt
Filed under: uncultured Bacillota bacterium
Lineage: Bacteria; Bacillati; Bacillota
Description: uncultured Firmicutes bacterium partial 16S ribosomal RNA
Rfam family: Bacterial small subunit ribosomal RNA
Source: RNAcentral